Molecule: transfer RNA, 60 nt
Filed under: Methylophilaceae bacterium
Lineage: Bacteria; Pseudomonadati; Pseudomonadota; Betaproteobacteria; Nitrosomonadales; Methylophilaceae
Description: tRNA-Leu
Rfam family: tRNA
About the family: Transfer RNA (tRNA) molecules are approximately 80 nucleotides in length. Their secondary structure includes four short double-helical elements and three loops (D, anti-codon, and T loops). Further hydrogen bonds mediate the characteristic L-shaped molecular structure. tRNAs have two regions of fundamental functional importance: the anti-codon, which is responsible for specific mRNA codon recognition, and the 3' end, to which the tRNAs corresponding amino acid is attached (by aminoacyl-tRNA synthetases). tRNAs cope with the degeneracy of the genetic code in two manners: having more than one tRNA (with a specific anti-codon) for a particular amino acid; and 'wobble' base-pairing, i.e. permitting non-standard base-pairing at the 3rd anti-codon position.
Source: RNAcentral
UGGUAGCGCACUUGUCUGGGGGACAAGGGGUCGCAGGUUCAAAUCCUGCCGUUCCGACCA